Ictalurus punctatus (channel catfish) is the source of this 628-nucleotide long non-coding RNA. RefSeq lists it as uncharacterized. The record is from RefSeq and is a predicted model, not a curated record. The transcript has 2 exons. NCBI's taxonomy places the organism in Eukaryota, Metazoa, Chordata, Actinopteri, Siluriformes, Ictaluridae.
ACUUCUAGCUUUAAAUGACUGGUUAGUUUCUUGGUGUACUGAACAGAAUCUGGUGUUUGUUAAUAACUGGAAUCUGUUCUGUGAGCAUCCUAGGUUGUUUCAUCCUGAUGGCCUGCACCCCAGCAACCUCGGAGCAGAACUGCUGUCUAGCAACAUUUCCAAGGCGCUACACACCAAGUGACUGCCUACUAGAUCCUGAUCCUUUCUGCUCUCCGGACCUGCCUGAUCCGUUUCGGAUGUCCUACCUCUGGAUGGAGCUCUCAUCUAUUCCAAUUCCAGACUGCUGGGACUACGGCUGCUUCUAAGGCCAAACAGACUUCAUAUAAAUCCAUAAUGAACUUUUUCACACUAUCUGUUGUUACCCAGAUGAGGAUGGGUUCCCUUCUGAGUCGGGUUCCUCUCAAGGUUUCUUCCUCUUAAAACAUCUUAGGGAGUUUUUCCUUGCCACUGUCGCCACACAGUGGCUUGCUCAGUUGGGAUAAAUUCGCACUUUUAAUAUCUGUAUACCGUGUUGAUAUUUCUGUAAAGCUGACAAUGUCUAUUGUAAAAAGCGCUAUGCAAAUAAAAUUGAAUUGAAUUGAAUGUUGUAUCAAUGAAACCUUCAAAUAAAGUCAUGUGUGUGAACGCA